ACGAAGGGGGCUAGCGUUGUUCGGAAUUACUGGGCGUAAAGCGUGCGUAGGUUGUAUGGUUAGUUAGUGGUGAAAGCCCAGAGCUUAACUCUGGAAUUGCCAUUAAAACUGCCAUGCUAGAGAGUGUUAGAGGUAAGUGGAAUUCCUAGUGUAGGAGUGAAAUCCGUAGAUAUUAGGAGGAACAUCAAUGGCGAAGGCUGCUUACUGGGUCACAUCUGACACUGAGGCACGAAAGCGUGGGGAGCAAACAGGA
RNAcentral lists this ribosomal RNA (253 nucleotides) under uncultured prokaryote. RNAcentral's name for it is "partial 16S ribosomal RNA". It matches the Rfam family "Bacterial small subunit ribosomal RNA", at positions 525 to 777 of the family's 1533-position model. The record is from RNAcentral.